AUCCAUCUGACGAGUCCCAAAUAGGACGAAAUGCACGUCUCUGAU
RNAcentral lists this non-coding RNA (45 nucleotides) under Trichobilharzia regenti. The record is from RNAcentral. Lineage: Eukaryota; Metazoa; Platyhelminthes; Trematoda; Strigeidida; Schistosomatidae.